This 359-nucleotide long non-coding RNA is filed under the name Capsicum annuum. RNAcentral's name for it is "long non-coding RNA (CANN_LNC022539)". The record is from RNAcentral. Lineage: Eukaryota; Viridiplantae; Streptophyta; Magnoliopsida; Solanales; Solanaceae.
AGGACACAAAAUCUUGGAGACCUUUUACAUCCAACUGUUGUUCAGCUGAAGACCAAACAAUAUUUGGCAAUUUUAGUAGGUGCAAAACCUCGAAAUCGGAAUUUUCGAAGAACCUAGGUCCAUUGCCAUCGUUUCGUAGGUUGUCAUUUUCGGAUUUGAGCAGGUCCUCAUCAACGCGAAUUAACGAGGAUCUUGCUCAAACAUUUGGACCUGACUUGUUUGAUUUCCAGUUGAGUGAACUGCGCGCGAUAACACAGAAUUUCUCGACGAAUUAUCUGCUCGGUGAAGGUGGAUUUGGGACAGUGCAUAAGGGGUAUGUUGAUGAGAAUUUGAGAAAUGGUUUGAAAUCUCAAGCGGUU